This is a long non-coding RNA of Sceloporus undulatus (fence lizard), 813 nucleotides long. RefSeq lists it as uncharacterized. The transcript has 3 exons. The record is from RefSeq and is a predicted model, not a curated record. Lineage: Eukaryota; Metazoa; Chordata; Lepidosauria; Squamata; Phrynosomatidae.
AGCAGCUUUUACUUUCCAAAAAAAGAGAGAAAAGUCACAAAUAUACACGCCCUACUGGCAAAACACUCUAUUCAUUCACUGAACUUGAAAUAUAAUUAGAAAAAAAUUUCCAGGUUCAGCAAGAAACUGAAUGCAAAACGGACAAUGAUACCUCGGCAAAUAUAAAACAUAACUUUGAAAUUGAGGGUCGAGGAACAAUUUUAAUCCCUCAGCAUUACAGGUGCAAGAAACUAUUUUGCCAAGCCAAGCUUAUGUUAUGGCUUAUUUUUGGCUGAUUUUCUUCCUCAUGUUUUUUGGAUUUUUUGUGGGGAGAAGCUGCUAAACUUCAUUACAGUUUACUGCAACAUCUUGCGGGAGCUUCCAUCUUUCCCAUUGGUUUGAAAGGGGGGGAAAAAUCCCCAAAUCCUUUUAAAUUUGAGAAUGUAGAGUAUGUCUGGCAUGGCUUCAUGGCCACAAAAAGGGUUGUUUCCCAUGGAUUGCAUCUUCCUCAGCUCUGAAGUGAAGGAUACAGACAUUAUCAAUGUUGGUGAUGACUGGAACAGCAAAAUUAUUACCAAGCAACAUCAACAAAUUAUGAGAAACUAGCUUCCCAGGUAGGAAAGUACAUUAUGAAAUACAGAGAGGGAACACAUCUCUGCCUAUGUGCAGCAGAUGCAGAAGACAAUACAGAAGAUGAGGCAGCACUUUUCCAAUACAUUAACCAGCGGCAUCACUACGGUUGGCAUCACCUGGUGCAGUAACUCAUGGUGCCCCACUUUCCCAUAUAUCACUGAAUGUAAUAGCAACAGUUCUGACAUAAAUAACUAGCAAAAA